Molecule: ribosomal RNA, 301 nt
Filed under: uncultured bacterium
Lineage: Bacteria
Description: partial 16S ribosomal RNA
Rfam family: Bacterial small subunit ribosomal RNA
Source: RNAcentral
CAGCAGCCGCGGGAAAACGUAGGUGGCAAGCGUUGUCCGGAAUUAUUGGGCGUAAAGGGCUCGCAGGCGGUUUCUUAAGUCUGAUGUGAAAGCCCCCGGCUCAACCGGGGAGGGUCAUUGGAAACUGGGAAACUUGAGUGCAGAAGAGGAGAGUGGAAUUCCACGUGUAGCGGUGAAAUGCGUAGAGAUGUGGAGGAACACCAGUGGCGAAGGCGACUCUCUGGUCUGUAACUGACGCUGAGGAGCGAAAGCGUGGGGAGCGAACAGGAUUAGAGACCCCCGUAGUCCCUGUCUCUUAUAA